RNAcentral lists this transfer RNA (85 nucleotides) under Bacillota bacterium. RNAcentral's name for it is "Firmicutes bacterium tRNA-Ala". Lineage: Bacteria; Bacillati; Bacillota. The record is from RNAcentral.
GGGGAUAUAGCACAGUUGGUAGCGCGAUACGUUCGCAACGUAUAGGUCACGAGUUCGCGCGAGGGCGAAGCCCGAAGCUCCACCG